AUGAAAUGCUAAUUGACCUGCGGGUCCCUAUGAAAUGAAAUGUGAGAUUGCCUUCGGGUCUUCUCAAAUGUACUAGAGCUUUCGAUUGAUCACCGAUUGCUUUUGAUGAAAUGAUGGUCAGAUUGGUCAACGUGGAUGGUGGCUGAGUGGUGCGCAGGUUGCCAAGUAAAAGAAAUUUUUAGGAAUCCAUAAUAAAUUUGUUAGGGCAUUUUAUGUUUCUCUUCAAUUCCAUUCAUGACGCUAUGUUUAUUUGAUUCAGUAUUUGAGUUUCAAUAAAUUAAGGUAUUAAAUUUUAAAUUUUA
This is a long non-coding RNA of Olea europaea var. sylvestris, 302 nucleotides long. RefSeq lists it as uncharacterized. NCBI's taxonomy places the organism in Eukaryota, Viridiplantae, Streptophyta, Magnoliopsida, Lamiales, Oleaceae. The record is from RefSeq and is a predicted model, not a curated record. The transcript is spliced from 2 exons.